Bos taurus (domestic cattle) is the source of this 2349-nucleotide long non-coding RNA. The record is from Ensembl. Lineage: Eukaryota; Metazoa; Chordata; Mammalia; Artiodactyla; Bovidae.
CCCAUGGACUGCAGCCCGCCAGGUUCCUCUGUCCAUUGGAUUUUUCCAAGCAAGAAUGCUGGACUGGAUUGCCAUUUCCUCCCUGGGGGGAUCUUCCCAACCCAGAGUUCGAACCCGCAUCUUCUGCAUUGGCAGGCAGAUUCUUUACCACUGGCCUCACCUGGGAAGCCCCACUGGUAAAGGAGCUGUUAAAGGGGCAUAAUAACCCUCACUGAGUCGCUAUGGGGAUUAAAUGAGAUGAUGCAUGUGACAUGCUUGGCACAGAGCCUGACACGGAGCAGCCCCAGAUGAAGGUUAAUUACUAUUGUCACAAGCACUUACAUGUGUAGUGAGUUGUGUAAACGAAGAGAGCUUAGAGAGCAGAGCCUGGGAGCUCCCGGCAGGGUCAUUGCCUACCUUUCCAGUAACAGUGGCCCCAUAGGGUAAAGGGAAAUAUCAUCAGACUUGCCACCAUCACUCUCUUUCAGUAAAAUCGUGGUCAUCAAGGAUCCACAGCACUGCUGCAAUCUCCUGACCACAUGGGCAGUACUGAAAGGAAGGACAAGGCAGAACGUCUAGAAGGCUAUUAAACAGAGAGGGGUGACUGGUCCACCAGUCACAUUUUGACUUCAUGGAAAAGGUUAAGAGACUGCACAGUAAAGCACAGUGUCUGGAGGAGGAGAGGAACCACAGCGGCAGUCUGGAGGAGAGAGGGGAAUGGGAGACAGCGGCGCUGCCCCACCUUGAACCCCUGGUCCUGAGCCAGGCGCGGCCCUUCUGCUGGCCUGUUCAUUCCAAGCACCAACAUCUGCCCUGAAUGCUUCAAGGUAAUUAGCACCACAUGUUAUCAACAGGAAGCUGGUACCCACGGGCACUUGAGAUAAUUGUUUCAGCACCAGCACGUCUCUGCCUACCGUGAAAGGUCACUGCAGCCGAUAUAUUCCCACCACCCCCAUCCCUCUCAUCAAAUGAAAAAAGCUGUCCCUGUGACUGCAGUUCUAUCAGUUCUUUGGUGCCGGGCUCAGGGCAUCCACACAAAGGCUUCUCAGAUGGACAUGUGCUCCAGGAGUUUGUAGUGAUUACUUCCUGUGACAUCGCAGUGUGGCCAUCCCCUCAUACUGGCAGUAGUUGAGGAACACAGCCAGGUUUCGUGUGUCUGGGACCUGAUGUGCUCAGAAGAAGAAAAUACAAUUGCAUUAGAUGACUGUGACCAAAACUGCUCAGGACCCCUGCCAAAGUCCGAGGAAGCAUCUUCCAGAGAGCCAGAAGAAGUGGAAAUCUCAGUGCCCUGGCCAGUCCUGCUCCAGGAAGAGCAAACAGGAGCAAGAAGAAUCUAAAUUGUGAAGUAAGUCAGCAGCUGGAGGCCCCAGCACGAGUUUCUCAGCAGGCAGCCAUGUCCUUCUGUCUGCAUGGAGAGCUGAUGGCCCCCACAGGUCAAGGCUUCAGACACGGCAGCAAGAAAUGCAGGACUGCCCCCAGGCAGCCAGCAUGUGCUUGUUACUCUGUGCGCCCAGUCCACGGAGACCUCCUGCACCCGGGUCAGGAACGGGAGCUCGCCUUCUGCAGACACUGACCUCCUACAUGGCACCCCCCAGUCCCACCCAGGUGAUAGCUGCACCAAGUCACGGGGAAGGGAAAUUUCAGUGGCUCCCCUGUCUUCUCCAUCAGACCCCCACAAGACCUCCCCCGCAGAGCGCUGGCCACACUGGUUUCUCCCCACCUCUAGAAAAUGCCCGCCCCCCCCCCGGCUCAGGGCCUCUGGCUUGGUUAAUGCCCUGCAUCCUUCAUUUCUCCUUCAGUCACACAGAGGGGCAAAUCCCCAGGUGGAACCACAGUCCUCUCCUGCACGCACUUUCUCCUGUUGUCAUUUUACUUCCAGCAUGUGCUUACUUGGUUAAUGCUGGUUUCCCCCACUAGACUGUCAUCAUCAUGAGCACAGGGUCGAGCCUAGGUCUGCUUUUACUAACCACUUUGUCCCCUGUACCUGGCACUCGGGUGGCCGCCCUAGGUAUGCAUUACCCAAACUGAGUCUUAAGAAGAUCCCAUUUGCUCAGUUAACAAUCAGUGUGCUCAGAGCACACUGAUGCUCAAACAGAUGCCCAGUGUGAGCAUUAGUGUACUCUCGUCUCAUGGCAUGUAGUAACAAUCUCAGACAACAACAUCAGCAUGUAAUACGACCACGUGUAAAACAGUUAGCUAGCAGGAAGCUGCUGUGCAGCACAGGGAGCUCAGCUCCGUGCUCCGUGAUGACCUAGACAGGUUGGAUGGGGCUGUGGGUGGGAAGGAGGCUCAAGAAGGAGGGGAUGUAUGUAUGCUGCUGCUGCUGCUAAGUCACUUCAGUCGUGUCCGACCCUGUGCGACCCCAGAGAC